Molecule: ribosomal RNA, 389 nt
Filed under: uncultured bacterium
Lineage: Bacteria
Description: bacterial SSU rRNA
Rfam family: Bacterial small subunit ribosomal RNA
Source: RNAcentral
GACGAACGCUGGCGGCGUGCUUAACACAUGCAAGUCGAACGAUGAAGCUGGAGCUUGCUCCGGUGGAUUAGUGGCGAACGGGUGAGUAACACGUGAGAAAUCUGCCCUUGACUCUGGGAUAACUGCGGGAAACUGUAGCUAAUACCGGAUACUUUCCCUGGUGGGCAUCCACUGGGGAAGAAAGAAUUUCGGUCAAGGAUGAUCUCGCGGCCUAUCAGCUAGUGGUGAGGUAAUGGCUCACCAAGGCGACGACGGGUAGCCGGCCUGAGAGGGUGACCGGCCACACUGGAACUGAGACACGGUCCAGACUCCUACGGGAGGCAGCAGUGGGGAAUAUUGCACAAUGGGCGAAAGCCUGAUGCAGCAACGCCGCGUGAGGGAUGAAGGCC